GAAUUACCAGCCUGCUGAGUGAGGAGAAGACACUCACGAUCAAUCUCAAUUAUCACACGGAGUCAUCGACGGGAAAGUUCAUGCGAUCAAAGCCUGAAGUGUGAAGUACACGACUUGAACCAUCCAAACAGCAAGGCAAAGCAUAGGUGACAAACAUCGAUCCAGGAUCCACUCGUAGAUAUAUGGUGCGCCCGAUCGAAGCAGUACCGUUAUCAAUAACAACGACAAGCCCUCAAAAGAGGGCUUUUUUUUCUUUACCCAAUCUGAUCUUCGUGCUUCGACGACACUUCUACAGUGGGUAGCUACUAUCGGCCGGACGAGGACCGUAUUGAUUGAACCGUAUUCAUUGAGACCUGCGUCGCGCGCAGAAUCACCAGAUCGACAGGCCUGGUCACGUAGGCCGACUCGGACUUGAUUGCUGAUCCCGAGACGUACGAGCACUUGCUCAAAGACAAGCAGCAUCGGCAAGACAUCCAGAUAGUGCGAGUGUAACAUCCAAUUCGCGAUAGGCUACGGCCUUCGAUUUGUGCGUGUUUGUAACCAGCAAUGAUG
This is a long non-coding RNA of Sabethes cyaneus, 552 nucleotides long. RefSeq lists it as uncharacterized. The transcript has 3 exons. The record is from RefSeq and is a predicted model, not a curated record. Lineage: Eukaryota; Metazoa; Arthropoda; Insecta; Diptera; Culicidae.